ACAGGCGCUCAGCAGCCAAUGGGCUUCAGAGGAGGUGGCACAUGCUAAUGAGGGACAAAUGUCCACUGACCGUGACCUUGAGGAACGCGCUAUAAAUGUGGGCACACCUCGGUGGGGCGCAUUUCGUUGUGCUUACUCUCAGAACAACGAACAGAGUCUUGUUUCAGUCUGGCCUUCUCUUUAAGAGAAAGUUGCACUCUCUUAAACUUCAUCCAAGCGACUUUUCUGUUGCGUAAUUUUCAUGUGGUGCCAUUUUUACGCACGGGCGGCCUCUUCUGCCUCCUCAAAGUUUCAGAGAAAAGACUCCAGAAAACAAACUACCCAAUGGCUUCGUGUCUUCUUACCAGAGGAGUCGGCUCUGCGUACAGUCUUGGGAGGAGUUGUUUGGACGAGGAGAGUUUGGAGAGUCCACAAAACUGGAGAGGAGCUGCGCCGCGGGGCGCGCGGGCAGGCCAACUCCAGCGAGGGAACUCUGGAUGAUCUAAAGGCAAAGUGAGAAGUUUGUCUGUGAUGAAAUGAAAAAACAAGUCACUGUAGGUCGCCUAUGCUGUGGGAGCACUGGCCAAAGCCACAUGUGACUGUAUGUUCAAACCGAACGGUGCGCCCCCCCCACUCGGCUUGAUUCCACAUUAGCUCCUUACAUCAGUGCAUCUGCGAUCUAUGAGCUGUUCUGCAUUCCUGUCAUCACACUUCAAAGGCAGAUGUACCGCCGCCACCAUUCAACAAAUACACAUAUUUGUUCUGCAGUUUGAGCAUCUGGUCAAGCAUCUGUACAUUAAAACUGUAUGAAAAUCUCCAUAGAAAUCCUCUCAUUUUUGGAAUUUAUCUGAAAAAAUGUCAAACAACAUCAGAGACCAACGUAGCUGCAGAGAAGGUGCUUCAGGUAAAGGUGAAGACAUCCAUCAGGUAUCAUUGAGACCUAGUCUGUAGCUCCUUGGUCAGGUUGAAGAAUCUCCAGAAUCAGCAGAUACAGAUGGCUGCAGGCCGCUUCAUGAGGAUGGAUCUACAGAAGACGAUGGAGAAGAGCUAAGCUGAGACCUUUUCGGAAGUGCUGUUGUUGAGAGUGGAACAAGCCAAAAAAAGGAAUCCAUCCGAUGAAAUAUCAUCCUGGAACUGCAUGCAAAAUGUCGCCUGAAUGUGGCUGCUCACCAAACGCAAACAGGAUGGGAGACUUAAAACCCUGAGAGGAGAGAAAACAUGAAAACAGGAGUUCAAACGCUCCAGUAGGACCGUGUGCUGCAAACAGAAACCUGUUGGUUGGAACCAAGGAAGUCACCGGAAAGGAGAUCCAACAUUCAUAUUCUGUCGCGUUCCUGGACGCAAUCGGACGAACUUUAAAGGAAAGCAACCUGCAGAUUCCUAGAACAUCUGACUUCAGAGAAAAUGUUAUCUCAGAUGAUAAACUUUCAUAGUUCAUAGUCUGUUAACAGCUGCUAGUAAAGAUUUGUAUUUACAUAAUAUGAGAGAACAUUACAGAAGUCAGCUGCUAAGGAAACGACUCUUUAAGCCCUAAUAAAACAUUUAACCUUUA
This is a long non-coding RNA of Oryzias melastigma (Indian medaka), 1531 nucleotides long. RefSeq lists it as uncharacterized. Lineage: Eukaryota; Metazoa; Chordata; Actinopteri; Beloniformes; Adrianichthyidae. The transcript has 10 exons. The record is from RefSeq and is a predicted model, not a curated record.